RNAcentral lists this ribosomal RNA (403 nucleotides) under Fusobacteriota bacterium. RNAcentral's name for it is "Fusobacteria bacterium partial 16S ribosomal RNA". It matches the Rfam family "Bacterial small subunit ribosomal RNA", at positions 355 to 776 of the family's 1533-position model. Lineage: Bacteria; Fusobacteriati; Fusobacteriota. The record is from RNAcentral.
UGGGGAAUCUUGCACAAUGGGGGAAACCCUGAUGCAGCGACGCCGCGUGAGCGAUGAAGGUUUUCGAAUCGUAAAGCUCUGUCCUAUGGGAAGAUAAUGACGGUACCAUGGGAGGAAGCCCCGGCUAACUACGUGCCAGCAGCCGCGGUAAUACGUAGGGGGCGAGCGUUGUCCGGAAUUACCGGGCGUAAAGGGUUCGCAGGCGGCAUGGCAAGUCCGAUGUAAAAGUCGAAGGCCCAACCUUCGUAAGCAUCGGACACUGUCAAGCUUGAGUGGAGGAGAGGCAAGUGGAAUUCCUAGUGUAGCGGUGGAAUGCGUAGAUAUUAGGAGGAAUACCGGUAGCGAAGGCGACUUGCUGGACUUCAACUGACGCUGAGGAACGAAAGCGUGAGUAGCAAACAGG